UUCGCCUUGACUUCAGCGGAGAAAAACUCCGAGCGAAAAGGAAAAAGGAAGGCAACGGACUAUGAUAGCUACGAUUGAAAAACGGACAGCGAUCGAGGUACAGAAAGCUCUGUCACCGCAAGGACUGGGGCUCCCAUCGGGAGUCCCAGCUUUUGAGGAAGUUUUCGACACAAAACAGGACAACUUACUUAGGGUGACAGAAGCUCGGAUCCCCGAACUCAAGCC
RNAcentral lists this long non-coding RNA (225 nucleotides) under Elaeis guineensis (African oil palm). RNAcentral's name for it is "long non-coding RNA (EGUI_LNC082627)". The record is from RNAcentral. Lineage: Eukaryota; Viridiplantae; Streptophyta; Magnoliopsida; Arecales; Arecaceae.